RNAcentral lists this ribosomal RNA (253 nucleotides) under uncultured bacterium. RNAcentral's name for it is "partial 16S ribosomal RNA". It matches the Rfam family "Bacterial small subunit ribosomal RNA", at positions 524 to 776 of the family's 1533-position model. The record is from RNAcentral.
UACAGAGGGUGCGAGCGUUGUCCGGAAUCACUGGGCGUAAAGGGCGCGUAGGCGGCCCGGUAAGGUUGCGGUGAAAGCCCGGGGCUCAACCCCGGGUCGGCCGUGGCAACUGCUGGGCUGGAGCACAGUAGAGGCGGGUGGAAUUCCGGGUGUAGCGGUGGAAUGCGUAGAGAUCGGAAAGAACACCAACGGCGAAAGUACUCUGCUGGGCCGACACUGACACUGAGAGACGAAAGCUAGGGGAGCGAAUGGG